Molecule: long non-coding RNA, 1378 nt
Organism: Balaenoptera musculus (blue whale)
Lineage: Eukaryota; Metazoa; Chordata; Mammalia; Artiodactyla; Balaenopteridae
Exons: 4
Source: RefSeq, a predicted model, not a curated record
CCAUCUUGAGCUGAGCGCUGCGUGCGGUGUUUCUGCGCAGAGCCCUGGAGCUGAGGGGACGGCCCAGCCGUGCUGCACCGGGAGCUCCGGUCUGAAGCGCCAGGUGCGAGGCCUCUGGAUGCGGCACCCUAAGAACAAGGGAAACUACAUGAAGCGCAAAGGAAGAGAAUGUGAUGCCACUUUCCUGUGAUCCCCAAAUCUUGAUUCUGCUACAGGUGCAGUGGCUGGCUACUGUGAAUUUAGUGACUGGCAUGCAAUAUGGAGGCCAAACGGGGCUCAAGAGUGACUGAAAACAAGCCCAGAGGGAAGGACACCACAGAAGCUUUAGAACUGAAAAAGACACGCUGACUGGAACAAAGGCCUGAACGUCGCCCAGAGGGAAUUCCUGGUAGGAGCAGCAGCUGCUGAGAUGACUGUGCACAUGCACUUUUGCACGUGCAGGAGCCAAGGUCUGAGAUCUCCGCUGUCUCUGAGGCCCGGACGGCCUGCUGAGAAGAGGCCAAGGCACCCACCUCGUCUAGGCCUUUGUUGUUGCAGCUGAGUAUUCUACAAGCAAUUGUCUGCGUCCUGCCUAGCUUUGAUUCAUGUUGACAGGGUUACUUGGUAAAGCAGGUGGUAAGAACGAGUCUCCCAGCAGGAAAAGGCUGCCUCCGCUGCUUCAUGACCAGCUCUCCUGUGAUAAUGAGCUUCACCGCGUGCCAUGGCAAAAGCUGCUGUCCCCUUUGGAACCAGCCAUAUUAGGGCGGUUCAUUCACGGUGAGCUCUGUAGGGGCAAGGGGCAGGGGCGAGAUAUUCCGUGUGUGUCUGUGUGUGUGUUUACAUUUAGAGCAGAGUCUGGCAGAUAGUUAUUAAAAGCUGAUGGUACCCAGCAAUUAAUCUAAUUAAUUUUGUCCUCUCCAAUGACCACAGAUUUAUUGCCGCUGGUCUGAGCUUCAACUGGGGUCUAGUUUCCUUCUUUGCAAAAGGAGGAUGUUGCACAAAUGCGAUAAUGUCACUUCUGCUUUGUACCUUCAUUAAUGACAUUCCCCAGAGCCAUAGACUCCCAGGAUUACGUCCAGGCACUAGUAAUGUUAACAAGAAUGGUCUCACGUACCCCUCUCCCCAGUCAGGGCAGCUCUGCUUUUAUCUGUUGUAUGUUUUGGCUUUCCACGAGCUCUCAUUUGAUGGAAGGGUCCACUAAAAAUGAAAAGGAUUUCAAAAAGUAAAAUAUGAAAACUAUUGGUCCAGACAGAAAGUCUGAUAAAGGGUGGGCUAAGCCAGGAGCUACCCGGGAAGUCCAUCUCUAAGUUACUAAAAUGGUGCCAGAUAGUUCAGGUUUCCACACUCAAGGGCUUAUUAAAUCAGUUAAACAUUAAAUAAUAGGUAAGUCAUAAUUGUU